RNAcentral lists this unclassified non-coding RNA (306 nucleotides) under plant metagenome. Its description in RNAcentral is "partial contains 5.8S ribosomal RNA, internal transcribed spacer 2, and large subunit ribosomal RNA". The stretch from base 1 to 105 matches the Rfam family "5.8S ribosomal RNA", at positions 50 to 154 of the family's 154-position model. The record is from RNAcentral.
GAAAUGCGAUAAGUAGUGUGAAUUGCAGAAUUCAGUGAAUCAUCGAAUCUUUGAACGCACAUUGCGCCCCUUGGUAUUCCAUGGGGCAUGCCUGUUCGAGCGUCAUUUGUACCUUCAAGCUUUGCUUGGUGUUGGGUGUUUGUCUCGCCUCUGCGCGCAGACUCGCCUCAAAACAAUUGGCAGCCGGCGUAUUGAUUUCGGAGCGCAGUACAUCUCGCGCUUUGCACUCCUAACGACGACGUCCAAAAAGUACAUUUUUUACACUCUUGACCUCGGAUCAGGUAGGGAUACCCGCUGAACUUAAGC